CUAAAAGCCAGAAAGGUCUGACCGCCUCCGCCUCCGCGUACGUCCCCAACUCGGUCGAACGCCGCCGCUGCCGCCGCCGGGGCUCUCCACCGCGAUCCCAGAUGGCGGCGCGAAUCGCGAUCAUCAACGAGGAUAGGUGCAAGCCCAAGAAGUGCCGCCAGGAAUGCAGGAAGAGCUGCCCCGUCGUCAAGACCGGGAAGCGUUGUAUUGAAGUUACUCCGGCGUCCAAGUCCGCGUUCAUCUCUGAAGAGCUGUGCAUUGGUUGUGGUAUUUGCGUCAAGAAAUGCCCAUUUGGUGCCAUUCAGAUCAUCAACCUCCCAAAAGAUUUGGAUAAAGAUACCACCCAUCGCUAUGGCCCAAAUACCUUCAAAUUGCACAGGUUGCCUGUUCCGAGACCUGGCCAGGUUUUGGGCCUUGUUGGAGCCAAUGGAAUUGGAAAGUCGACAGCUCUUAAGGUGUUAUGUGGCAAGUUGAAACCUAAUUUGGGGAAAUUCGAUAAUCCGCCUGACUGGCAGGAAAUCCUUACAUACUUCCGGGGGUCUGAACUUCAGAAUUACUUUACGCGUCUGUUGGAGGAUAAUCUCAAGGCAAUCAUAAAGCGUCAAGACGUUGAAAGCAUUCCGAAAGCAGUUCAAGGGAAUGUCGGUCAACUACUUGACAAGUUAGACCAGAGGGGUGUUAAAGCUCAAUUGUGCAUUGACCUUGAAUUGAACCAAGUUCUGGACCGGAAUGUAGAAGAUCUUUCCGGUGGUGAGCUGCAGAGAUUUGCCAUAGCAGGCACUGCUGCACAAAGUGCAGACAUUUACAUGUUUGACGAACCAUCAGUUUACCUUGAUGUCAAGCAGAGGCUUAAAGCUGCACAAGUCAUUAGGUCCUUGCUUAGAGCAAACAGCUAUGUAAUCGUUGUGGAACAUGAUUUGAGUGUCUUGGAUUACAUGUCCGAUUUUAUUUGCUGUUCGUAUGGGAAACCAGGAGCAUUUGGUGUAGUUACGCUGCCAUUUUCAGUCCGAGAAGGUAUCAAUGUUUUCCUGGCUGGAUUUGUUCCAACAGAAAAUCUUCGGUUUCGAGAUGAAGCACUUACAUUUAAGAUUGUUGAGGCCCAGGAAAAUGCUGAAGAGAUUGAGACAUACCAGCGGUACAAGUACCCUACCAUGAGCAAAACAAUUGGAAAUUUCAAGCUCACUGUCAUGGAAGGUGAAUUCACUGAUUCUCAGAUUGUUGUGAUGCUUGGUGAGAACGGGACAGGGAAAACUACGUUCAUCAAAAUGCUGGCUGGGCGGCUGAAGCCAGAUACUGUGGAAGGAGCUGAGAUUGAAAUUCCUAAAUUUUAUGUGUCCCACAAGCCUCAGCAGCUUGAAACAAAAUUCCAGGGCACAGUGAGUCAAUUGCUUCAUCAGAAAAUACCAGAAUCAUGUACUCAUCCUCAAUUUAGGUCUGAUGUCAUUAAACCACUACAAAUUGAGCAACUCAUGGACCGGGUAGUUACAAAUUUAUCAGGUGGAGAACGCCAAAGAGUGGCAUUAUGUCUUUGCCUUGGAAAGCCUGCAGAUAUUUAUCUGAUCGAUGAACCAAGUGCAUCUCUUGAUUCAGAGCAGCGCAUUGUUGCCUCAAAGGUUAUCAAAAGAUUCAUCUUUCAUGCAAAGAAAACCGCAUUUGUUGUUGAGCAUGACUUCAUCAUGGCAACCUACUUAGCUGACAAGGUUAUUGUUUACGAGGGACGGCCUUCUGUAGACUGUACUGCUAAUGCACCUCAGACUCUACUCUCUGGGAUGAAUAAAUUCCUAUCACAACUUGACAUCACGUUCAGAAGAGACCCAACCAACUAUAGGCCGCGGAUAAACAAGCUGGACUCUACGAAAGACAAAGAACAAAAGUCUGUAGGGUCCUACUACUACCUGUGAUAUAGGCAUCACGGUUGAUACUUUGGAACCGUUGCAACUGCAACACACUCUGCCUGGGCUGCUUCUUGUUGGAGAAGAAACUGAACUGGAUUUGUCCAAGGGGGAGGCGAGACACGGCAAGGGAGCGACGACUGGAACGUCUGGAGGAGCAAGACAACAUGGGGGACGUCGGAGCAAGGAGACAUGCCAACGCCGCCAGCAGGCGCAACAUGUUAACCUCCCAUGGAAUCUGGUGAAGGAAUGCAGAGAAAGGGAAGCAGGAAGUGCUGCAAGGUUGGAUCGGAUCAAGGAGCCUGCGCCAGAAGAAGUAAUCCCAACCUUUGGAACCCCUCCUGAACCUGGAGUGCUCUGUCGGACUUCGCCCACAGUCAUUGCAGGACGCUGUGAGAUGAAGCAACACGUUUGAUGGUGUCGAAGCCUCGGCACCGAGCUGAGAACUGCUUGGGCUUUUCUCUGAAGAAGAAUUGGGUGUUGCUUGAACUUAUGAAACUACUGUGUUUUCUGUAAUAGGGUUGUACCAGGUUUUUUGCCCCAUAGCUUGUAUUCAGGUAUGGAAUACAAGCAGUGGGUUUUCCUGGUGAACAUUGAACCCGCAAUCUUCCUACCAUUUUCAAAAAAAGUCGUAUAAGAAUUUGCCGGGGGGCAAGGUUUGCCUCUUAUAAUCC
RNA transcript from Triticum dicoccoides, 2566 nucleotides. It is a transcript of the gene named ABC transporter E family member 2-like, with no coding region annotated. The record is from RefSeq and is a predicted model, not a curated record. Lineage: Eukaryota; Viridiplantae; Streptophyta; Magnoliopsida; Poales; Poaceae. The transcript has 12 exons.